UCACCUUCAAGAUUUCUAUUCUUCUGAACUUUAUUGGAACUUAGUUCAACACUAUAUGGUUCCAAAGGUACCUUAUUAUCAAAUUACAAACCGAGUAAGCUCAAGACACUACAGUACCCCCAGCAUCACGAAAUAUACCCUCUGCUCUUGAGGCUCUCCACAGCAUCCCUUAUGAUCUUCUCCAUGGGGCUGAACUGCAUACCCAUCGCGAUGAGCUUCUUCGAUCCUACUACCUUUGCUCUCACCAGCCCAGGCUGGGUAUCAUCCUUGGGGAACCUGCGCGCAAAACAACAACACAAAGUCUAAAUCUCAAGCACACCCAGAUAUUUCAACAGUAGAAAACGCAAGCAUUCCCAGAUAUUGCUCUCUGACUAACAUAAACAGCUAACUUCAUUCAUUUUUCAUCUUGAAAAGGUUUGGAUGGUGGCUUACUUUAUCGCGUUGGCGCGAGAUUUCCAUUCUGAUCAUACCAUCAUUAGAUACAUUAUUCAUGGUGAAAGUGAAAUAGGUAGGCUC
This 516-nucleotide long non-coding RNA is filed under the name Setaria italica (foxtail millet). RNAcentral's name for it is "long non-coding RNA (SITA_LNC006391)". The record is from RNAcentral. Lineage: Eukaryota; Viridiplantae; Streptophyta; Magnoliopsida; Poales; Poaceae.